Molecule: ribosomal RNA, 465 nt
Filed under: uncultured bacterium
Lineage: Bacteria
Description: partial 16S ribosomal RNA
Rfam family: Bacterial small subunit ribosomal RNA
Source: RNAcentral
CCUACGGGAGGCAGCAGUGGGGAAUAUUGCGCAAUGGGCGAAAGCCUGACGCAGCGACGCCGCGUGAGGGAUGAAGGUCUUCGGAUCGUAAACCUCUGUCAGCAGGGAAGAACGGUCACUGUGCUAAUCAGCAGUGAAUUGACGGUACCUGCAAAGGAAGCACCGGCUAACUCCGUGCCAGCAGCCGCGGUAAUACGGAGGGUGCGAGCGUUAAUCGGAAUUACUGGGCGUAAAGCGCUCGUAGGCGGUAUGUCAAGUCAAGGGUGAAAUCCCCGCGCUCAACGUGGGACCGGCCUUUGAAACUGGCAGACUGGAGUGUGUGAGAGGAUAGUGGAAUUCCAGGUGUAGGAGUGAAAUCCGUAGAUAUUAGGAGGAACACCAGUGGCGAAGGCGGCCUGCUGGACGGUGACUGACGCUGAGGCUCGAAAGCGUGGGGAGCAAACAGGAUUAGAUACCCGUGUAGUC